GACGUAGGGGGCGAGCGUUGUCCGGAGUUACUGGGCGUAAAGGGCACGCAGGCGGUCUGCCACGUUUGCCAUGACAGUGUCGGGCUUCACUCGACAAGGAGGGCGAAAACGAGCGGACUUGAGACUCAGAGAGGGACCUGGAAUUCCGGGUGGAGUGGUGAAAUGCGUAGAUAUCCGGAGGAAGACCGAAGGCGAAGGCAGGGUCCUGGCUGAGGGCUGACGCUGAGGUGCGAAAGCCAGGGGAGCGAACAGG
This 253-nucleotide ribosomal RNA is filed under the name uncultured bacterium. Its description in RNAcentral is "partial 16S ribosomal RNA". It matches the Rfam family "Bacterial small subunit ribosomal RNA", at positions 524 to 776 of the family's 1533-position model. The record is from RNAcentral.